AACGAACGCUGGCGGCAUGCCUAACACAUGCAAGUCGAACGAGACCUUCGGGUCUAGUGGCGCACGGGUGCGUAACGCGUGGGAACCUGCCCUUAGGUUCGGAAUAACUCCCCGAAAGGUGUGCUAAUACCGGAUAAUGUCUUCGGACCAAAGAUUUAUCGCCUUUGGAUGGGCCCGCGUUGGAUUAGCUAGUUGGUAGGGUAAAAGCCUACCAAGGCGACGAUCCAUAGCUGGUCUGAGAGGAUGAUCAGCCACACUGGGACUGAGAAACGGCCCAGACUCGUACGGGAGGCAGCAGUGGGGAAUAUUGGAAAAUGGGGGAAAGCAUGAACCAGCAAUGCCGGGUGAGUGAUGAAGGCCUUAGGGUUGUAAAGCUCUUUUAACCGGGAUGAUAAUGACAGUACCGGGAGAAUAAGCUCCGGCUAACUCCGUG
This 433-nucleotide ribosomal RNA is filed under the name uncultured bacterium. Its description in RNAcentral is "partial 16S ribosomal RNA". It matches the Rfam family "Bacterial small subunit ribosomal RNA", at positions 29 to 507 of the family's 1533-position model. The record is from RNAcentral.